GCGGCGGUGGUGUAAUGGUGCACAAAUCGUGUCCAACGAUAAGGAUCAGGUUCAAUUCCUAGCCGCCGCU
RNAcentral lists this transfer RNA (70 nucleotides) under Chloroflexota bacterium. Its description in RNAcentral is "Chloroflexi bacterium (anaerobic digester metagenome) tRNA-Gly". It matches the Rfam family "tRNA". From Rfam's summary of the family: Transfer RNA (tRNA) molecules are approximately 80 nucleotides in length. Their secondary structure includes four short double-helical elements and three loops (D, anti-codon, and T loops). Further hydrogen bonds mediate the characteristic L-shaped molecular structure. tRNAs have two regions of fundamental functional importance: the anti-codon, which is responsible for specific mRNA codon recognition, and the 3' end, to which the tRNAs corresponding amino acid is attached (by aminoacyl-tRNA synthetases). tRNAs cope with the degeneracy of the genetic code in two manners: having more than one tRNA (with a specific anti-codon) for a particular amino acid; and 'wobble' base-pairing, i.e. permitting non-standard base-pairing at the 3rd anti-codon position. The record is from RNAcentral. Lineage: Bacteria; Bacillati; Chloroflexota.